Molecule: ribosomal RNA, 250 nt
Filed under: uncultured bacterium
Lineage: Bacteria
Description: partial 16S ribosomal RNA
Rfam family: Bacterial small subunit ribosomal RNA
Source: RNAcentral
UACAGAGGUCCCAAGCGUUGUUCGGAUUCACUGGGCGUAAAGGGUGCGUAGGUGGUGGGGUAAGUCGGAUGUGAAAGCUCGGAGCUCAACUCCGAAAUGGCAUUGGAAACUACCCUGCUAGAGGGUCGGAGGGGGGACUGGAAUUCUCGGUGUAGCAGUGAAAUGCGUAGAUAUCGAGAGGAACACCAGUGGCGAAGGCGAGUCCCUGGACGACUCCUGACACUGAGGCACGAAAGCUAGGGGAGCAAAC